AAAGAAAAGAAGACGACACAGCCUGCCCAAGCCAAGUGAAUCAUCAUCGGAAUCAUCCGAUAUAUCAGCCGCAUAUUCGUCAAAGAGAGCCUACAACUGGUCCAAAGUUCCAUUCACAAAAUAUAACCUUAUUCCCGUGUGUCGUCUCUCUGUUUGAUGUUAGAAAUCUUCAAUCUUAUCAUGAAAUUCCAACGACAAACAAGCUGAGAGACAACCAACUACAAAAAAACGAAACCAAUACCAAAUCAAAUAUAUUGGAAACAGACACAGAAAAGUGAAACGACUUUUGUAACCAUAAACUAUAGACGACCUAGUUAACGAGGUAAAAGAAGCAA
Molecule: long non-coding RNA, 335 nt
Organism: Episyrphus balteatus (marmalade hoverfly)
Lineage: Eukaryota; Metazoa; Arthropoda; Insecta; Diptera; Syrphidae
Exons: 2
Source: RefSeq, a predicted model, not a curated record